This 364-nucleotide ribosomal RNA is filed under the name Neoclytus jouteli. RNAcentral describes it as "partial 12S ribosomal RNA". The record is from RNAcentral. Lineage: Eukaryota; Metazoa; Arthropoda; Insecta; Coleoptera; Cerambycidae.
CCCUAUUAUUUAGAAUGUAAAAUUUGAUCCUUGGUUAGUAAUAGUUAUGUUCUUGAAAACUAAAGAUUUUGGCGGUAUUUUAUUCUGUUCAGAGGAACCUGUCUAGUAAUUGAUAUUCCACGAUAAAUUCUACUUUUUCUUAGUUUACAUAUCGUCGUGGUUUGAAUAUUUUUUUAGAAUUUUAAUGUUCGAUGAUUUUUUUUAUAAAAGAAAUCAGAUCAAGGUGUAGCUUAUGAGUAAGCUUAAGAUGGGUUACAUUAAAUUCUAUUUAAGGAUUAUUAAUUCGCAAUUUAAUAUGAAUUUGGAUUUGAUAGUAAUUUUGAUUAUUUUAUUAGGAUGAUAAUAGCUCUAAAAUAUGUACAUA